GACGAACGCUGGCGGCGUGCUUAACACAUGCAAGUCGAACGGAAAGGCCCUGCUUUUGUGGGGUGCUCGAGUGGCGAACGGGUGAGUAACACGUGAGUAACCUGCCCUUGACUUUGGGAUAACUUCAGGAAACUGGGGCUAAUACCGGAUAGGAGCUCCUGCUGCAUGGUGGGGGUUGGAAAGUUUCGGCGGUUGGGGAUGGACUCGCGGCUUAUCAGCUUGUUUGUGGGGUAGUGGCUUACCAAGGCUUUGACGGGUAGCCGGCCUAAGAGGGUGACCGGCCACAUUGGGACUGAGAUACGGCCCAGACUCCUACGGGAGGCAGCAGUGGGGAAUAUUGCACAAUGGGCGGAAGCCUGAUGCAGCAACGCCGCGUGCGGGAUGACGGCCUUCGGGUUGUAAACCGCUUUCGCCUGUGACGAAGCGUGAGUGACGGUAAUGGGUAAAGAAGCACCGGCUAACUACGUG
Molecule: ribosomal RNA, 468 nt
Filed under: uncultured bacterium
Lineage: Bacteria
Description: partial 16S ribosomal RNA
Rfam family: Bacterial small subunit ribosomal RNA
Source: RNAcentral